CAACGUGCCAGGCAGCGCGACUAUACAUGCAGUCGAACGCGUUGGCCCAAUUGAUUGAUGGUGCUUGCACCUGAUUGAUUUUGGUCGCCAACGAGUGGCGGACGGGUGAGUAACACGUAGGUAACCUGCCCAGAAGCGGGGGACAACAUUUGGAAACAGAUGCUAAUACCGCAUAACAACGUUGUUCGCAUGAACAACGCUUAAAAGAUGGCUUCUCGCUAUCACUUCUGGAUGGACCUGCGGUGCAUUAGCUUGUUGGUGGGGUAAUGGCCUACCAAGGCGAUGAUGCAUAGCCGAGUUGAGAGACUGAUCGGCCACAAUGGGACUGAGACACGGCCCAUACUCCUACGGGAGGCAGCAGUAGGGAAUCUUCCACAAUGGGCGCAAGCCUGAUGGAGCAACACCGCGUGAGUGAAGAAGGGUUUCGGCUCGUAAAGCUCUGUUGUUAAAGAAGAACACGUAUGAGAGUAACUGUUCAUACGUUGACGGUAUUUAACCAGAAAGUCACGGCUAACUACGUGCCAGCAGCCGCGGUAAUACGUAGGUGGCAAGCGUUAUCCGGAUUUAUUGGGCGUAAAGAGAGUGCAGGCGGUUUUCUAAGUCUGAUGUGAAAGCCUUCGGCUUAACCGGAGAAGUGCAUCGGAAACUGGAUAACUUGAGUGCAGAAGAGGGUAGUGGAACUCCAUGUGUAGCGGUGGAAUGCGUAGAUAUAUGGAAGAACACCAGUGGCGAAGGCGGCUACCUGGUCUGCAACUGACGCUGAGACUCGAAAGCAUGGGUAGCGAACAGGAUUAGAUACCCUGGUAGUCCAUGCCGUAAACGAUGAGUGCUAGGUGUUGGAGGGUUUCCGCCCUUCAGUGCCGGAGCUAACGCAUUAAGCACUCCGCCUGGGGAGUACGACCGCAAGGGUUGAAACUCAAGGAAUUGACGGGGGCCCGCACAAGCGGUGGAGCAUGUGGUUUAAUUCGAAGCUACGCGAAGAACCCUUACCAGGUCUUGACAUCUUGCGCCAACCCUAGAGAUAGGGCGUUCCUUUCGGACGCAAUGACAGGUGGUGCAUGUCGUCGUCAGCUCGUGUCGUGAGAUGUGGAUAGUCCCGCACGAGCGCAACCUUGUUACUAGUUGCAC
This 1128-nucleotide ribosomal RNA is filed under the name Limosilactobacillus fermentum. RNAcentral describes it as "bacterial SSU rRNA". It matches the Rfam family "Bacterial small subunit ribosomal RNA", at positions 31 to 1120 of the family's 1533-position model. The record is from RNAcentral. Lineage: Bacteria; Bacillati; Bacillota; Bacilli; Lactobacillales; Lactobacillaceae.